This 422-nucleotide long non-coding RNA is filed under the name Oryza brachyantha (malo sina). RNAcentral describes it as "long non-coding RNA (OBRA_LNC002843)". The record is from RNAcentral. Lineage: Eukaryota; Viridiplantae; Streptophyta; Magnoliopsida; Poales; Poaceae.
AUUCUCGCCAAUAUUUUAUUUAUCCUAUUUCUUGUACAUGGACGACAUAUUCAAGAUAAGAUAUGAUAAUUAAAUUAUUCAUAUGUUUACAAUUUUAAAUUUUUCACUUUUCACCAUCGAUGAUAUGUUAAACAAAUACAUUCCAGACCAUAAAUAUACAUUACAGACCAUAAAUAUUAACUAUCAUAUGUACCAAAUGGAUGUUGGGUGUGUUAUUUGAAAUUAUUUAUUAUCACCAGCUAAAGUUUUCAUCCUACAUAAAUCAGCCUAACAAAUGGAGUGUGUCUUGAAGUAUCAACUCGAUCUAAUGAGAUUGACUAAAGAGUGAGUUUUUUUACGUACUUAUUACAAAUACGAGAUAUUUGUAAAAUAAUUUCAAUCCAUUUGAUUCUCUCCCAUAUCUCACCCAUCCUUUUUCUGUA